This 402-nucleotide ribosomal RNA is filed under the name uncultured bacterium. RNAcentral describes it as "bacterial SSU rRNA". It matches the Rfam family "Bacterial small subunit ribosomal RNA", at positions 917 to 1322 of the family's 1533-position model. The record is from RNAcentral.
GGGCCCGCACAAGCGGUGGAGCAUGUGGUUUAAUUCGAUGAUACGCGAGGAACCUUACCAGGGCUUAAAUGUUAGGUGACAGAUCUAGAAAUAGAUUUUUCUUCGGACACUUAACAAGGUGCUGCAUGGUUGUCGUCAGCUCGUGCCGUGAGGUGUCAGGUUAAGUCCUAUAACGAGCGCAACCCCUGUUGUUAGUUGCCAGCGAGUAAUGUCGGGAACUCUAGCAAGACUGCCAGUGCAAACUGUGAGGAAGGUGGGGAUGACGUCAAAUCAUCACGGCCCUUACGUCCUGGGCUACACACGUGCUACAAUGGAUGUGACAAUUAGUUGCAAAUUCGUGAGAAUGAGCUAAUCUGUAAACACAUCCCUAGUUCAGAUUGUAGGCUGCAACUCGCCUACAUG